This 253-nucleotide ribosomal RNA is filed under the name uncultured bacterium. RNAcentral's name for it is "partial 16S ribosomal RNA". It matches the Rfam family "Bacterial small subunit ribosomal RNA", at positions 524 to 776 of the family's 1533-position model. The record is from RNAcentral.
UACGGAGGGUGCAAGCGUUGCUCGGAAUUAUUGGGCGUAAAGCGUCUGUAGGUGGUUCGAAAAGUCCACUGUUAAAAAUUGAGGCUUAACUUCAAAGAUGCCGUGGAAACUUUCAAACUAGAGUAUGGUAGGGGUAGAGGGAAUUUCCAGUGGAGCGGUGAAAUGCGCAGAUAUCAGGAGGAACACCGAUGGCGAAGGCAGAUCUCUGGGACGUUACUGACGCUGAGACGCGAAAGCGUGGGGAGCAAACAGG